GGGCCUGUAGCGCAGCUGGUAGAGCGUCUCUAUGGCAUGGAGAAGGUCAGGGGUUCGAGUCCCCUCAGGUCCACCA
RNAcentral lists this transfer RNA (76 nucleotides) under Chloroflexota bacterium. RNAcentral describes it as "Chloroflexi bacterium tRNA-Ala". It matches the Rfam family "tRNA". From Rfam's summary of the family: Transfer RNA (tRNA) molecules are approximately 80 nucleotides in length. Their secondary structure includes four short double-helical elements and three loops (D, anti-codon, and T loops). Lineage: Bacteria; Bacillati; Chloroflexota. The record is from RNAcentral.